This 350-nucleotide unclassified non-coding RNA is filed under the name Hevea brasiliensis (rubber tree). Lineage: Eukaryota; Viridiplantae; Streptophyta; Magnoliopsida; Malpighiales; Euphorbiaceae. The record is from RNAcentral.
GUCAUAACCUACUUCCUGUUGCGGUCCUCUGUUUGUUCUCAGCUUGUUUUUGACUUAAUUUUCUUACUGCCAUUGAACGCAAAGGUGGCAGAUCAAUAUUAACAAAUUGGAUAGACAUCUUAGAUAUCUCGGAGAUAGCAGCCUCUCGAACUUCAGCAACGUCACUGUUUAACUCCUCAUAGGCCGCCUCAAACGCCUCCUGCCAAAACUUAAGUAUCCUGAUCCGAGGACUAUUAGUGUACACAUCCCACAUAUGAUUCACCAACUUCUCCCUGUCUUCCAUUUCGAGAACGUCGAGAUCAUCUGAUUUCGGAAUAUCGAAGAGAUCGGAGAGACUAUUAAGGUUUCCG